Molecule: ribosomal RNA, 253 nt
Filed under: uncultured bacterium
Lineage: Bacteria
Description: partial 16S ribosomal RNA
Rfam family: Bacterial small subunit ribosomal RNA
Source: RNAcentral
GACGGAGGGUGCAAACGUUGUUCGGAUUCACUGGGCAUAAAGCGCACGUAGUCGGCUCGUUUAGUCAGACGUGAAAUCCCCCGGCUCAACCGGGGAAUGGCAUCUGAUACUGGCGAGCUCGAGGUCGAUAGGGGUGAGCGGAACUCCAGGUGGAGCGGUGAAAUGCGUUGAUAUCUGGAGGAACACCGGUGGCGAAAGCGGCUCACUAGGCCGACACUGACGCUAGGGUGCGAAAGCUAGGGUAGCAAACGGG